Molecule: unclassified non-coding RNA, 683 nt
Filed under: Hevea brasiliensis (rubber tree)
Lineage: Eukaryota; Viridiplantae; Streptophyta; Magnoliopsida; Malpighiales; Euphorbiaceae
Source: RNAcentral
GAAGAAAUGAGCAUGAGUGAAUUCUAAUGGUGAUAAAAAGCUGCAAGCAUGUUUUAAGCAGGAUGGGAAUUCAGAGUUAUGAUGGGAUUGUUGGAGUGAAUCCAAGUCCCAGCCCACCAUUUAUUUACAGAAGAACUUAUUCCCUUUGCCCAUCACCAAUGUCUCCCCCUAAUUUUGUCUAUUCUUUUAGGCUAAAAUUUCUAAAGCACAAAGCAGCUGUUCAUGUGUUAAAGAUAUUUGAAGGGAUGCCCAUCCAAGAGUCUGUUCUUCCAAGCAAAUAAUGACUUAAAACUUGGAGCUUUUUGUGAUGCAGACUGCGCAUCAUGCCCAUUCUCGAGAAAGUCCAUCACAUAUUUUUGCAUCUUUCUUGGUCCCUCUCUGAUUUCAAGGAAAGUCAAGAAGCAAUCAACUGUUAGUCGGUCUUCUGCUAAAGCAGAAUAUAGAAGUAUGGCCAUGACAAUGUGUGAACUUCAAUGGAUUAGCUAUAUACUUGGCUAAUUUUGUCUCAAGAUUCAGCUUCCAAUCGCUCUCCAUUGUGACAACAAAGCGCAAUUACUCUAAUAUACAGAGUUCUCCUCAUCUCUUCUAAAUCUCUUUUGCCUAGCAAUGAAAGCUUCCACUGUGCUCCUGAACUCCUCAUUGCUCAUACUAUCCUCAGGAUACGAAAUUUUCAUCCAUCCCUC